CCUACGGGAGGCAGCAGUAAGGAAUAUUGGUCAAUGGGCGGAAGCCUGAACCAGCCAUGCCGCGUGCAGGAAGACUGCCCUACGGGUUGUAAACUGCUUUUGUACCGGAAUAAACCUUGAUACGUGUAUCAAGCUGAAUGUACGGUAAGAAUAAGGAUCGGCUAACUCCGUGCCAGCAGCCGCGGUAAUACGGAGGAUCCAAGCGUUAUCCGGAUUUAUUGGGUUUAAAGGGUGCGUAGGUGGCUUUUUAAGUCAGGGGUGAAAGACGGUAGCUUAACUAUCGCAGUGCCUUUGAUACUGAAGAGCUUGAAUGAACUAGAGGUAGGCGGAAUGUGACAAGUAGCGGUGAAAUGCAUAGAUAUGUCACAGAACACCAAUUGCGAAGGCAGCUUACUAUGGUUUAAUUGACACUGAGGCACGAAAGCGUGGGGAUCAAACAGGAUUAGAUACCCUGGUAGUCCACGCCCUAAACGAUGAAUACUCGAUGUUGCGAUAUACGGUCAGCGUCUAAGCGAAAGCGUUAAGUAUUCCACCUGGGGAGUACGCCCGCAAGGGUGAAACUCAAAUGAAUUGACGGNGNGAGAGNGCGAGACGACGACGAGGGAGGAGG
Molecule: ribosomal RNA, 610 nt
Filed under: uncultured bacterium
Lineage: Bacteria
Description: bacterial SSU rRNA
Rfam family: Bacterial small subunit ribosomal RNA
Source: RNAcentral